CCCUUUAAUCAGGAUUAGGGUUUUUAAACCCUAAACUGAACUUUUCCCUUUAAUCAGGAUUAGGGUUUUAAACCCUAAACUGAACUUUUCCCUUUAGUCAGCAUUAGGGUUUUAAACCCUAAACUGAACUUUUCCCUUUAGUCAGCAUUAGGGUCUUAAACCCUAAACUGAACUUUUUCCAUUUAGUCAGCAGUAGGGUUUUAAACCCUAAACUAAACUCUUUCCAUUUAGUCAGCAUUAGGGUUUUAAACCCUAAACUGAACUCUUCCCUUUAGUCAGCAUUAGGGCCCCAAACCUAAACUGAACUUUUCCCCAGUUGGUCAACAUUAGAGUUUCAACUCUAAACUGAGCUUCUCCCCAGCUAGUCAGCAUUAGGGCUCCAACCCUGAACUGAACUAUUUCCAUUCCGCCAGCCUUAGAGUUUCAACCCUAAACUGAGUAUUCUUACCUUGUGGCAAUAGCGUUGAUCCAAUUGCUUCAUCAAUGCUAUGAACUUCCUGGCAAAUAACUCACGAAAUUUCCUAGUGAAACUGGGGCAGAAGAUUUCGUUCGUUUGUUUUUUCCCCGCAGGUCUGACCUCGAGGCGCAUGGAUCGAGAAGACCCACGAGAUGAGCCUCAACCCAGAAUCAAAAAGAGAAGAUGUUCUGAGAUGCUUGGAAAAACGAAGGGCGGAUCGCUCAAAGGUUUGAUCAAGGUCCCAAAUUCUAUCAACCCCGUCUUACCCAGUAC
This 730-nucleotide long non-coding RNA is filed under the name Nicotiana tabacum (common tobacco). Its description in RNAcentral is "long non-coding RNA (NTAB_LNC018893)". The record is from RNAcentral. Lineage: Eukaryota; Viridiplantae; Streptophyta; Magnoliopsida; Solanales; Solanaceae.